RNAcentral lists this long non-coding RNA (1110 nucleotides) under Apteryx haastii (Great spotted kiwi). RNAcentral's name for it is "lncRNA (ENSAHAG00000011440.1)". Lineage: Eukaryota; Metazoa; Chordata; Aves; Apterygiformes; Apterygidae. The record is from RNAcentral.
AGGACAUGGGGGACAUGGGGACAAGGGUGCACAGAGGGACAUGGGGGAUUUGGAGGACGUGGAGGGAUCUGGAGGACACAGGGACACAGAGGGACAUAGGGGAUAUCGAGGGACACAGAUGUGAAGGGACCCAGUAGGUUAUGGGGGACAUAGGGGACAUGGAAGGAUAUGGGGGACAUGGGGACAGAGAGGGACAUGGGGGAUAUGGGAGACACAGGGGACACUGUGACAGCAGGACAUGGGGGACAUGGGGGACAUGAGGGGAUGCAGCAGGACAUGGGGGACGUGGGGACACGGGUGACAUGAAGGGACAGAGAGGACAUCGAGAUGGGGGGACACCAGGGGGACAGGGGCAGAGACGGGGAGAUGCGGGGACGGGGGACGCGCGAGGCGGCUCGGGGUCCCUCCGUGCCAUUGUCCCCGUCCCCUCCUGUGGCCCCGGCCUUGGGUCCCCUCCCCGUGGCCUUGUCCCUGUCCCCAUGGCCACCUCCGUCCACCUCCCCACGGCCACCUCUGUCCACCUCCCCUGGCCUUGUCCCCGUCCUGUCCCUGUCCCCUCCCAGGAUUGAGCCCCGCUGGCCCUGUCCCCUCUCUCCAUCGCUGUCCCCACACCGUGUCCUUGUCCCUGUCCCCAUCCCCAGCACCCUGUGGCCGUGCUGGUCCCCAUGGCCAUCACCAGCACCCCAUGCCCAUGGCCAUGGUGGUCCCCAUGGCUGUCCCCAUGCUACUUUGGGCCCAUGGCCAUGGUGGUCCCCAUGGCUGUCCCCAUCCCUCCGGCCAUCUCCAGCACCCAAUGCCCAUGGCCAUGAUGGUCCCCAUGGUCAUCUCCAUGGCUGUGCUGGCACUGGGGAUGGUGGCCAAGUGACUCUGGUGAAGCCUGGCCCCACCACCCUGUCCCCAUCCCCAGCACCCUGUCCCCAUGCCCAUCUCCAUCCCUCCAGCCAUCUCCAGUACCCCAUGCCCAUGGCCGUGGUGGUCUCCAUGGCCAUCCCCAUCCCUCUGGCCACCUCCAGCGCUCCAUGCCCAUGGCCGUGGUGGUCCCCAUGGCCAUCCCCAUGGCUGUCCUUAUGGCCGUGGUGGUCCCCAUGCCUGUCCCCAUCCCUCUGGCCA